RNAcentral lists this microRNA precursor (76 nucleotides) under Mesocricetus auratus (golden hamster). Its description in RNAcentral is "miRNA (ENSMAUG00000003049.1)". Lineage: Eukaryota; Metazoa; Chordata; Mammalia; Rodentia; Cricetidae. The record is from RNAcentral.
CUGUAUUCACUUGGUAGUCCAGGCUGGUCUCGAACUCACAGAGAUCCACCUGCCUCUGCCUCCCGAGUGCUGGGAU